Molecule: transfer RNA, 73 nt
Filed under: Phyllosiphon coccidium
Lineage: Eukaryota; Viridiplantae; Chlorophyta; Trebouxiophyceae; Watanabeales; Watanabeaceae
Description: tRNA-Ala
Rfam family: tRNA
About the family: Transfer RNA (tRNA) molecules are approximately 80 nucleotides in length.
Source: RNAcentral
GGGGGCUUAGCUCAGUUGGUAGAGCGCUGCCCUUGCAAGGCAGAUGUCAGCGGUUCGAGUCCGCUAGUCUCCA